AAUGAACGCUGGCGGCGCGCCUAAUACAUGCAAGUCGAGCGAGAAGACGUAGCAAUACGUUUGUAAAGCGGCGAACGGGUGAGGAAUACAUGGGUAACCUACCCUAGAGUGGGGAAUAACUAGCCGAAAGGUUAGCUAAUACCGCGUACGCUCCUUGGACUUCGGUUCAGGGAGGAAAGCGAUACCGAGGGUAUCGCGCUCUUGGAUGGGCUCAUGUCCUAUCAGCUUGUUGGUGGGGNGAUGGCCUACCAAGGCGACGACGGGUAGCCGGCCUGAGAGGGCGACCGGCCACACUGGGACUGAGAUACGGCCCAGACUCCUACGGGAGGCAGCAGUGGGGAAUAUUGCGCAAUGGGCGGAAGCCUGACGCAGCGACGCCGCGUGGGGAUGA
This 391-nucleotide ribosomal RNA is filed under the name uncultured bacterium. RNAcentral describes it as "bacterial SSU rRNA". It matches the Rfam family "Bacterial small subunit ribosomal RNA", at positions 29 to 411 of the family's 1533-position model. The record is from RNAcentral.